RNAcentral lists this ribosomal RNA (439 nucleotides) under uncultured bacterium. RNAcentral describes it as "partial 16S ribosomal RNA". It matches the Rfam family "Bacterial small subunit ribosomal RNA", at positions 339 to 795 of the family's 1533-position model. The record is from RNAcentral.
CUACGGGCCGCUGCAGUGAGGAAUGUUGCACAAUGGGGGGAACCCUGAUGCAGCAACGCCGCGUGGAGGAUGACGCAUUUCGGUGUGUAAACUCCUUUUAUAUGUCAAGAAAAUGACGGUAGCAUACGAAUAAGCACCAGCUAACUCCGUGCCAGCAGCCGCGGUAAUACGGAGGGUGCAAGCGUUACUCGGAAUCACUGGGCGUAAAGGACGCGUAGGCGGAUUGGAAAGUCAGGUGUGAAAUCCUACAGCUUAACUGUAGAACUGCACUUGAAACUUCUAAUCUAGAGUAUGGGAGGGGGAGAUGGAAUUAGUGGUGUAGGGGUAAAAUCCGUAGAUAUCACUAGGAAUACCUAAAGCGAAGGCGAUCUCCUGGAACAUUACUGACGCUAAGGCGUGAAAGCGUGGGGAGCAAACAGGAUUAGAUACCCCUGUAGUC